Molecule: unclassified non-coding RNA, 2199 nt
Filed under: Polistes canadensis
Lineage: Eukaryota; Metazoa; Arthropoda; Insecta; Hymenoptera; Vespidae
Description: aldehyde dehydrogenase, dimeric NADP-preferring, transcript variant X2
Source: RNAcentral
GCCCAACACACGUGUUCUACGAACCUGUUUUAAGUUAGUUUUAAGUUGGUCUCGAGCGACCGGUAAACACACCGCGUGCUCACAGUGCAACUCUGUAGUCUGUAAAUCGAGAUCGUGAAUCUAACGGAGCGUCUAACCAACACCAGUUUUGAGAAUUCUUCAAGGACGUGGUCACAAAAACGAUAUUUUAAAAAUGGCGGAAGUUAUCAUAGAUAUACCAAAACAAAUAGACGAUGAAUUGAAGAAUGAAAUGAUUACGUCAACAGUAUCAUCCGAAGAUGAGACUACUCGUAUUGAUCUUCAAGCAGCUGUGAUCGAGGUUUCGGAUUCACCACAAAUUAAUGGAAAAAUGGUAACAGCCAAUUAUGCUGAUAUUGUACAAAGCAUGCGAGAUACAUUUUUUAGUGGUAAAACAAGACCAUUGGCAUGGAGAAUAAAGCAAUUAAGACAAAUGAUUAGAAUGAUGGAGGAGUGCACACCUAAAUUUUUAUCCGCAUUGGCAACAGAUUUAAGACGGAGUAAAUUUGAGUCUAUGAUUUUAGAAAUUAAUUAUACUAUACAAGAUAUUAAGCACAUGAUUUAUAACAUAAAAGAUUGGGCUGCUCCAGAAAAGCCUGCUAAAGCAAUAGUGAAUAUACUCGAUGGCGUUGAAAUACAGAAAGAUCCUUAUGGUGUUGUUCUCAUCAUAGGAGCAUGGAAUUAUCCAGUACAAUUGAUCUUGGCACCUUUGAUUGGUGCUAUAGCAGCUGGAAAUUGUGUUAUUAUUAAACCCUCGGAAAUUGCACAAGCUACUGCUAAUCUUUUGGCAGAAAUAAUUCCAAAAUAUUUAGAUACAGAGUGUUACCGCGUUAUAACAGGAGGUGUAGCAGAAACGACUGAACUACUUAAACAAAGAUUUGAUUAUAUAUUUUAUACUGGUUCUACUAACGUUGGUAAAAUAGUUCGUGAAGCAUCUAGCAAAUACUUGACGCCUGUUACUUUAGAAUUAGGUGGUAAAAGUCCUGUUUACAUAGAUAAUUCGGCAGACGUAUGUAUAGCCGCAAAGAGAAUAUUAUGGGGGAAGUUCAUCAAUGUUGGACAAACUUGUAUUGCACCUGACUACGUAUUGUGUUCCACGGAAGUUCAAAAUAAAUUUUUGGAAGAAGCUAGAAAGAUCUUGAAAGAGUGGUAUGGAGAUAAUCCUAAAGAAAGUCCUGAUUUUUGUCGUAUUAUUAAUGAAAAUCAUUUGCAGCGUUUAAAGAAUUAUUUAUCAGGCAAUGGAAAAGUAGCAAUAGGUGGUGACUACGAUCUCGCAGAAAAGUAUAUUUCUCCAACAGUACUUAUCGAUGUAAGGUCUACUGAUCCAGUUAUGCAAGAUGAAAUUUUUGGACCGAUUUUGCCAAUUAUUAAUGUUGAUAAUGCUUACGAAGCUAUUCGUUUUAUUAACAGUCGCGAUGCCCCGCUUGUACUAUACAUCUUUUCCAAGGACAAAGGAGUACAAAAUUUAAUUAUAAGUCAAACUAAUAGCGGAUCAGUCUGUGUCAACGAUACAAUAUUGCAAUAUAGUGGGAGAAGCCAUUAGCAAUGUAUAUAUUUAGCGCAAAUAAGGAAAAUAUAUCUAUGAUUCUUGCCAAUACUUCUAGUGGUGGUGUUGGUGUUAAUGAAAUAAUGUUGCACGCAGCAGUUGACACAUUACCGUUCGGUGGAGUCGGUAAUUCAGGUAUGGGUGCUUAUCAUGGAAAAUACAGUUUUGAUACAUUUGUGCAUAAAAAGGGAUGUCUUAUUAAAAAUUUCAACAUUAUUGGGGAAAAGUUGGCAUCAUGUCGUUAUCCACCUUACACUGAUAGAAAAUUAAGUUUACUGCAAAUGUUGGUGGCCAAAAGACCCGACGUACCAGGAAUAAAGUAUUUGCCGCAUUUGAUAAUGUUUGGACUAGGUGUACUCGCUACUUUUGGUGUCAAAGCUGCUCUUAAGGAUUUCUCCGAUGAAGACCAGCUGUAACAGUAAUAAUUAUGGUAUCGUCAAAAAUCAAGAUCCUUGUACUAAAUGGAUACCGAAGUAUACUUUAGUUAACAAAAAGGUUUCGUUUAAUGCUAUACUUUAUAAGUAAAAUAUUAAGUAAACACUUUUAAGCGAUUACACGUUAUUAAGUUAACAGUCUUUUUUUUUUUAUAUUUCUACGAAGUUAAAUUAGAAGGCUGUGUUCAUAUUUUUUUGUCU